This is a long non-coding RNA of Pleuronectes platessa (European plaice), 2801 nucleotides long. RefSeq lists it as uncharacterized. The record is from RefSeq and is a predicted model, not a curated record. The transcript is spliced from 2 exons. NCBI's taxonomy places the organism in Eukaryota, Metazoa, Chordata, Actinopteri, Pleuronectiformes, Pleuronectidae.
UAUCUUUGAAAUAUUCAGCAGUAGGAGUUUUCUUACAAUCUGGUGGUACGUUCAUAUUGCUAAUUCAAGCCACUCAUGUUCACUCCUGACUGACUCACCCCACAGCGAUUCGCACAGCAGCCCUGUGACCCCGUCAGGUGGAUGUAGAGAGCUGGCAGCAGCACCUGUAGCAGCACAGAGGAGUUGACAUGAUCCUCAGGAGCUGAUUCAAUCGAGGCCACGUCUGGAAAAAUAUCUGGUUUUAUUCUGAUACAACAGAAGCUACUUCUGAUGGUUAUGAUAUGCAUUCCAACCAGUAAGCCGGAUAUUCGACAGUAAGUUGUUUAUAUGACCCUGAAUCAUCUCUAUCAUUAUCAGUGUUGCGAAAAUAUAAUCUGGAAAAUCCUGCGUCACUGAAGAAGAACUUUGUCCUGGACUUUAUGUUAGCAGCAAUCAAUCAAGGGCACCGAGACAUUUAUUGCUUUGUCUACGAGCCAAAUAUUGAUAUCGGCCUAAAUGAUUAAUCACAGUCCACUAAUGUAGCUUAGCAGUGUUUAUUUGAAACCAAUUUGAUCAUACAAUCAGCAUGAAUUAUUUUCGAAUGCUUUUUUAACAGAAAUGUGAAAUAUGCCACGGUUGAAGGUACAAUUUCAAAGCAGGUCCGGUAUCUCGUCCCGCGGCCCAGAGCGUGAGUCGACUCCUCAGAUCACUGCCACGGAUCCGAGCCCUCUUGACCAGGAAAUUAAGGCGGCUGUACGGGAGAAAGCAAACAAGCAGGAAAGUAUAACCACAAAAUAGAAUUCAAAAACAAUAAAGAGUGGAGCUGAACGUGAUCCUCUCAGAACACACAACCUCUGAACCCUGACAACAUGGAGGAGUGAGGUGUGUGUAUAUUUACGUCUUUAUCGACGUCGCUGGUUCCGCAGAGGCAGCCAAUCAGUCCGUUGAGGAUCUGAACGGCACACAGUAUCACCUGCAGGGAGCUGGUGGCCAUCAGGACCACGAACAGUGCGAUGUUGAACUUCACCACGUUCUUGGGCUCAGCGCACUGGCUCCAGGACUUGUAGUCGGCCAGGUAGGUCGUGGUACUGUGUGUGAAAGAAGAGGCUGUAUAACUGCUCAGGUUGAUAGACGUCACGUAUGAAACGGUUUCUGCCGUCACCUGUUUGUAAAAGGGGUCGUCCACUCGCCCUGGACUUUGCAGAGGGGCCCGUUUUUCAGACCGACUGCUGCCACAAGGAAGCUGUAGAGGGCGCCGACCAGGCCCACUGCAGCGAACAGAAUCGAUACAAACAUCUGCAGAAGUUUUAAUGUGAAGUGAAGGUCAGAAACAUAUACUGUAAGUUUCACCUUCAGACACAUGCUUAACAUUUGUUCUCCAACAUAUCAGGUCACUGAUGUAUUAAGGUUUAUUUUAUUGUCCCACCAUCAAGACUAAACUGAACGGUCAUCUCCAUUUAUUUUGUAUAAAUGAACUCGAAUGGAACAACAGUCCCCUUAAAAGUAUUUUAUUUGUACUUUAGUCAUUAUUUUAUCCUUCCUAUAUUUAGUGUCCCAUAAAUACAUGAAAACCAUGUUAAAAUAAUUUCCCAUUCAGUUCAAUUGUGACACAGUUGGUGUACAUAUUGAGAUUAAACUGUUGUAUUUCACUCUGUUUUGGAUUUGUUUUUAAUUAGGCCUUGAGAAUCUUCCAUGUUUACAGACUAAACUCUAUGGGACAGCUUUGCUUCAUGACAAAAAAUUGGAAAUACUUCUUUUAGAUAUUUGGUAAUUAAAAAUAUUCUCGGGUUUAUAUUUAUAUAAGAGUAUGAGAGUUUGAGACCAGUGUCAGUAAUGGGUUCUAACGCAUGGGUGUUGGCCCUUAUAAUAAAUGUGCUUCUGUGGAAAAAGGAGAAAUGCACUGUGCUUGGGUUGUACAUUAUCUUAUCGAUCUUGACAUAAACGCUGUGCAGUGGUGACGCAGCACUACGCAGCAAGUUCACUUUUUUGUUUCUUCAUUUUCAUCACUGAGUUCUCCGCUGUACUGGUGUCCAAUACGUACGUGACAGUUCAUUCUUUACCUUAGAAAUAAUAUUUUUGGACAAAUAAUGUUAACUCCAGCAUAACGCAUAAUGCCCUUUUCACCUUUUACUUAACACCUGUCUCCCUCUGACUGACUCACCACAAUGCGACCGGUGCAGCACCUUUGGUCUCCAGCCAGCUGGAUGUACAGACCUGAGAUCAACACCUGGAAUGACAGGAAAUUAGAUGCAGCGACAUAAAAUAUGUUCAACACACUUUAAUAAGUCUGUUUGUGAAGUCAGACUUCAGUCAGGUUUUAUGGACUUCCUGUUCCGUGCAUCCGAUAUGUUACCAAGAAUAAGACACUUCUGUUGGAAUGAAAUGUGCCUCAUUAGAUUAUCAUGUAUUAAAAUGUGUUAUAUGUAAUAACUUUGCUAGAAUGGCACUCAGUAGAGCUCGUACCGAGGCCUAACAUGAGUAACUCUCUGGGAAUCAAUCACUGAAGCACAACAUUGGGACUGAGAAAAGGUGACCACGGCAAACCAAUAAAAAAACACUACAGUUUAACCUGAGGCUGCACAUGACAUUUCAGAAUAAAGUUCUACAGCAGCUUCCAGUGUCCCACCCAGACAGGAGAGAAGCCAACUCACCAGUACACCCCCUCCGAGGAUUCCCCCCAGGUACAUCACCUCCGCGGUGAUGUGUCCCUCUCUGCUGUACUUGACGUCCCAGCCGGGAAAGAACAGCAGAAUGUUACAGAUGAUGGAUAUGAGUAUCAACGGGUACAGAGUACCAGAGAUGCAACGGGCACAUUUUGCUAC